CAAAGGCUUGGUCCCGACUUUACUAUCAGCUUUAGCUCAAAUUAUACAUGCAAGUAUCCGCACCCCUGUGAGAAUGCCCUCAAUCCCCCUCCCGGGGACGAGGAGCCGGCAUCAGGCACACCAUGAUUAAUAGCCCAAGACGCCUUGCUACGCCACACCCCUAAGGGAUUUCAGCAGUAAUAAACAUUAAGCCAUAAGUGAAAACUUGACUUAAUUAGGGCUACUUAGGGCCGGUAAAACUCGUGCCAGCCACCGCGGUUAUACGAGAGACCCUAGUUGAUAAAUACGGCGUAAAGAGUGGUUAUGGAAAAAACAAAUAAAGUCAAACAACCUCUUAGCUGUUAUACGCAUAUGAGAGCAUGAAGCCCCCCUACGAAAGUAGCUUUAACACCUCCUGACUCCACGAAAGCUAAGAAACAAACUGGGAUUAGAUACCCCACUAUG
This 444-nucleotide ribosomal RNA is filed under the name Hemigrammus unilineatus (featherfin tetra). RNAcentral's name for it is "partial small subunit ribosomal RNA". It matches the Rfam family "Bacterial small subunit ribosomal RNA", at positions 7 to 794 of the family's 1533-position model. The record is from RNAcentral. Lineage: Eukaryota; Metazoa; Chordata; Actinopteri; Characiformes; Acestrorhamphidae.